GUCUCUCUGAUGAACGAUUCGAUCCUGAUCUUCGACGGGAGGAUCUGGCUUACCGCAGAAGCAAUCGCCAGAUCUGAUAUCUGCAUUUGGUUUAUCUAUACGAUUCUGAUGUCGGAGACCGGUAUCACAGAAAGCAACCACCGGGAUCUUCAAUCGUCGCUGAGAUGCCUUUGCUCCGAUGAUGUCUCCGUCUUCAAAUGUUCCAUUGGUUUCGUUGAUACGAAAAGUUUUCUGGUUAGUUGAACCUUCCGUAUCUGUAAUUUAUCGAACAAUAUAUCUAGGUUUGGUUCGUUUUGUGACGGAUUUAAUGGAAUUCUUUCAUUUGAUGAAAUCAAUGUCGAGAUGCCAGUAGUGUGUUCUACUGCUGAAAUGUUGGUAUUCCUGGUGCGCUUCUACAGUUUUGUGUACUCGUUUCACUGUGUCUGUACUAAUUCGCUUUUCUUUUGCGAGACUGCGACGAAUCGCUUUAGUCAACAUUUACGGAGUUGAUUUUUGACUUCGAAAAUGGCUUAAAUUACUGAACUCGAGUCUGAAAACUUGAGAGAAACUUAAACUGAUUCUGAUUUUGGGGUCGCAGACUGUGGGUUGGACUCUUGACCCAAACUUGUAUAUCCGGAAUAGAUAAGAAAACCUAUUGGAUGCAUGGAGUCAGUUUCCAAUAUUCGCUGUCAGACAAUGCUAUCAAGGGAAAUGAGGCAAAAAUUUGCCAUGGGGGAAAGAAGUUGAAAAUGGGGAAAAGGAAAAUGGGAAACUUAGCACUUGAUGGAGUUGAUUCCUUGAAGUGCCAAGAUCCAUGGUAUACUUUGAAGAUGAAGAAUCUAAUAAUCAUAUGUUGCAUGUCUCAACACGACGUUCGUGCUGAGUGUUAGUCAGAGGUUGAGGACCUUGAGGUAGCUGAAAGUUUGACGUCGGUUUAAACAAGAACUCUUGACCAUCUUGCCAAUUUCAGCAACCCAGUUGACUAAGCGAGUGGUAAGCAGUCCAGUAAUCAUCACUAAUCUGUUGUACAGAAACUCAUGUCUGGAUUGAAGUUUUUACAGAGCAAAAGAGUUGCUUCCUGAGAGAUUUGAAGACUGAUGGUGGUGAAGCAGGUCAAAGAACAUGUAAUCACACUGCUUUGAGAAGUCAAUUUGAGGGAAAGUACGACCUUAUCCUCUUAAUUCUGAUUAAUCUUCAGGUCCUAUGAAACAAACAUUCCUGUAAGAAUGAGUUUGUGUGAUAUGUAUGAUAUGUAACAAAUGUUACUAGAAAUGAAACCUGAAAAAAUGGUUCCAGAU
Molecule: long non-coding RNA, 1277 nt
Organism: Eutrema salsugineum
Lineage: Eukaryota; Viridiplantae; Streptophyta; Magnoliopsida; Brassicales; Brassicaceae
Exons: 7
Source: RefSeq, a predicted model, not a curated record